UACAGAGGUGGCGAGCGUUAUUCGGAAUUAUUGGGCGUAAAGGGCGCGUAGGCGGCCCUGUAAGUCAACGGUGAAAUCCCUCGGCUCAACCGAGGACGUGCCGUUGAUACUGCAGGGCUCGAGGCCGGGAGAGGGUAGUGGAAUUCCCAGUGUAGCGGUGAAAUGCGUAGAUAUUGGGAGGAACACCGGUGGCGAAGGCGGCUACCUGGACCGGUUCUGACGCUGAGGCGCGAAAGCGUGGGGAGCGAACAGG
This 253-nucleotide ribosomal RNA is filed under the name uncultured bacterium. RNAcentral describes it as "partial 16S ribosomal RNA". It matches the Rfam family "Bacterial small subunit ribosomal RNA", at positions 524 to 776 of the family's 1533-position model. The record is from RNAcentral.